ACAUGCAAGUCGAACGAACUCUUCGGAGUUAGUGGCGGACGGGUGAGUAACACGUGGGAACGUGCCUUUAGGUUCGGAAUAACUCAGGGAAACUUGUGCUAAUACCGGAUGUGCCCUUCGGGGGAAAGAUUUAUCGCCUUUAGAGCGGCCCGCGUCUGAUUAGCUAGUUGGUGAGGUAAUGGCUCACCAAGGCUACGAUCAGUAGCUGGUCUGAGAGGAUGACCAGCCACAUUGGGACUGAGACACGGCCCAAACUCCUACGGGAGGCAGCAGUGGGGAAUCUUGCGCAAUGGGCGAAAGCCUGACGCAGCCAUGCCGCGUGAAUGAUGAAGGUCUUAGGAUUGUAAAAUUCUUUCACCGGGGACGAUAAUGACGGUACCCGGAGAAGAAGCCCCGGCUAACUUCGUGCCAGCAGCCGCGGUAAUACGAAGGGGGCUAGCGUUGCUCGGAAUUACUGGGCGUAAAGGGCGCGUAGGCGGACACUUAAGUCAGAGGUGAAAUCCCGGGGCUCAACCUCGGAACUGCCUUUGAUACUGGGUGUCUUGAGUGUGAGAGAGGUAUGUGGAACUCCGAGUGUAGAGGUGAAAUUCGUAGAUAUUCGGAAGAACACCAGUGGCGAAGGCGACAUACUGGCUCAUUACUGACGCUGAGGCGCGAAAGCGUGGGGAGCAAACAGGAUUAGAUACCCUGGGUAGUCCACGCCGUAAACGAUGAUUGCUAGUUGUCGGGAUGCAUGCAUCUCGG
Molecule: ribosomal RNA, 744 nt
Filed under: uncultured Brevundimonas sp.
Lineage: Bacteria; Pseudomonadati; Pseudomonadota; Alphaproteobacteria; Caulobacterales; Caulobacteraceae
Description: bacterial SSU rRNA
Rfam family: Bacterial small subunit ribosomal RNA
Source: RNAcentral